This is a long non-coding RNA of Mus musculus (house mouse), 1242 nucleotides long. RefSeq annotates it as predicted gene, 41912. Lineage: Eukaryota; Metazoa; Chordata; Mammalia; Rodentia; Muridae. The record is from RefSeq and is a predicted model, not a curated record. The transcript has 3 exons.
AAAUGAUUUAUCCGAGAAAUAGGACAGUAAAUAUGAUUAAGAAAGGAUCGAAAGUAUUGAUUUUUCAUAGGAUGCAAUAAAGGAAAAAAAAACCCAACCAACAACAUCCAUUGUAAGCAAAUGAACAAAUGCUUAGCAAAUGCAGAAGAUGAAACACAGGGAGGACAGACAGGCCCCUACACAGAAAGUGCAGGGAAGAGACCUUGGCUUUUGAUGUAGUGACCCAUGUGGCACUGCCAGCUGACAGUUGAGGUGAACCGAGUCUGCCACACAUUCAUAUUCCAAGACCUAGCUGGAAAUCAAUGCAAUAAUUUUUGCCAAAAGCCUAAUUCAUUUUAAUGUAUUUUAAGUAGAAAAAACUCACAAUGGUUUAGAGUGGUGUGUGUGUGUGUGUGUGUGUGUGUGUGUGUGUGUGUGUGUGUUACACUAAGCUCAAUUCUUGCAGUGGUUAUAUUUUGGUGACUUGCUGUCUCUCCUUUUUAGUCUUUUGAAACUGAAAAAGGUUUAUUUAAAUAACUAUUACUUCACAUAAACAAACAAACAUACAGACAUCAUUAAGUACCUUUACCGCCCCACCCUAAAGGAUUACUGUUAGCACACUAUAAUGGUACAGCAUGCAUUACGAUGCAAACAAUACUGAAACAGGUCUGCUCAGAGCAAGUGUGCAUUAAACAGAUCGAUACAUAGCUAUCCGUUCAUCCCCCACCAGCACCCGAAGUCUCCACUGAGUGAUAUUUUUUCUGUUUCAUUUGACAGAGGCCGUGUUUUGAUGAAAAGGUUAAUGAGUGGGACUUUUGCAGGCAGAAAAGCCAGAGGAAAACUCUUUCAAGGCAUGCCACACACAGGCUCUGGGAGAAAGUGCCAAUCAUGGAGGGAGAAAAAAAGAGAAGGGAGACACGGGUGGACCGCAGACAACAAAGGGAAUAUACAGGCACCUCUGUACACCCAGCUAGAAAGAUGAAGUGGAAACCAGAAUGGAUGGAGUCUGCAGGAUCCUGGUCUGGCUGGGAGGAAAUCGAGCUGCAGGGAAGACUGCAACCAGACCAGCUGCCCGGAAGAAGCAGAAACCAGCUGAGCUACCUGGAAGAGUCACUCGGAAAGGACAUUCUCCAACUUGCUGAGCUGCCUGCAGGCUGUGCAGUGUGCUUCAGGUUUCUAGGUUUGUAAGCUGUCAUUCAUGCUGGGGUGGGCCUUGAUGAUACAGCUGUCUUUGAGUCAUUUCUGCUCCUGUACAUGACCCCU